ACACCCGUUCCCAUGCCGAACACGAAGGUUAAGCUUCAAAGCGCUGAUGGUACUGCAGGGGAGACCCUGUGGGAGAGUAGGUCAUUGCCAGAU
This 93-nucleotide ribosomal RNA is filed under the name Clostridium botulinum. The record is from RNAcentral. Lineage: Bacteria; Bacillati; Bacillota; Clostridia; Eubacteriales; Clostridiaceae.